Phyllostomus discolor (pale spear-nosed bat) is the source of this 102-nucleotide long non-coding RNA. RefSeq lists it as uncharacterized. The transcript has 3 exons. Lineage: Eukaryota; Metazoa; Chordata; Mammalia; Chiroptera; Phyllostomidae. The record is from RefSeq and is a predicted model, not a curated record.
UUUGUUUUUUUGCAUUUGGGCGGCUCAGCCCCUCCCUCCUUCAGCAGGUGGAAAGGGCCCCAUGUGGACUGUGAGCUGCACAAGAGGGACGCGUUCCUUCCU